GUUCAUUGAAAUUAAUUGUAGUUUUUUGUUUGAUGAGAUUUGAACAUACGUUCACCUUCAUGCACCAAUACCAUUACCAGCUAUCAUACAUAUCUACAUGGGAAUGAGAUAUAGAUACUCAUCUCCUUCCCCCUCUCUGUUCUUUUAUUCUUAUAUAUCAACAUAUUUGCAUUAGAUAUGUCUAUUGAGAAUGCCUUGAAAUCUUUUGGUCCCUAAAAUGUUUUUGUUCAGCUGUAUUAAAUCUGUUUAUGGUGCUAUAUACAGUACAUGUCUCAAUAUUUCUCAUGCUUUGUUUUAGUUUUAUCCCUAUAUCUUCUUUUUCUUUGUUCAAUUUAGGUGCAGAGCCGGUGAGAUUGUAGUAUGUUUAGGUUCUUCGGCUUUUGUUCCUGACUAUGAGUUACUUAUGUUGGAUUUAGUAAGAUCAACCACCAUGGAGGGAAGAAGCAAAGGAGAAUAUAUUGGUUACUGGUCAGCAUAUAUAUAUAUUUCAAGAAGUAAAAGAAGAUAGUAAGUAUUGCUGGAAGCCCCACAGUUGCAGAAUUUGGUUAUUGAAUCAAUUGUUGCACUAGAAGGUCAAGAUUAUUAUGGGCCAGGUUCCUUCAUCACGCUCUCACACACCUGAUGAUGACCAGGGACCUAACCGUAUUCAUGUACAAGAGGCAGAAAUGCAGAGUAGAAAUAAUCCCCAGGGAGAUACGAGACAAUCAAUGAGUUCUUCACAAUUUGUUUUAUCACAAUCUUCCCCACCCAACGAAGACCAGGAAAAC
Rosa chinensis is the source of this 767-nucleotide long non-coding RNA. RefSeq lists it as uncharacterized. The transcript has 4 exons. Lineage: Eukaryota; Viridiplantae; Streptophyta; Magnoliopsida; Rosales; Rosaceae. The record is from RefSeq and is a predicted model, not a curated record.